UCCUUGGUGGCUCAGUUGGUAAAGCGUCUGCCUGCAAUGCGGGAGACCCGGGUUUGAUCCCUGGGUCAGGAA
RNAcentral lists this transfer RNA (72 nucleotides) under Bos taurus (domestic cattle). It matches the Rfam family "tRNA". From Rfam's summary of the family: Transfer RNA (tRNA) molecules are approximately 80 nucleotides in length. Their secondary structure includes four short double-helical elements and three loops (D, anti-codon, and T loops). RNAcentral also lists the same sequence under 2 other names. Lineage: Eukaryota; Metazoa; Chordata; Mammalia; Artiodactyla; Bovidae. The record is from Rfam by way of RNAcentral.